This 1156-nucleotide long non-coding RNA is filed under the name Salmo salar (Atlantic salmon). Its description in RNAcentral is "lncRNA (ENSSSAG00000044407.2)". The record is from RNAcentral. Lineage: Eukaryota; Metazoa; Chordata; Actinopteri; Salmoniformes; Salmonidae.
AAAAUAUGUUUGAAGAUAAUGUGUCUCGAGUAUAAUUUCAAAUGUUUGUAACGACCCUGGGUUUAUAAGCGCGGAUAUCGACUCUGCCGCUUGAGCAUGCUUUUGCGGCACAGUCGAUAGCGCGCUGGACUUCGGGCUAGAAGGUCAAGGGUUCGAGACCUGCUCCCUGCUGUUUCAUUACAAGACGUUGAGUCGCAAGCUAGCGCGAGGGGCUAGUGCUCUGCCAUAGUUGAAUUUGAACUUUUAGAUUUGUAUCAUUUUACUUCAGAUUUUUAUGAUUAACCACAGGACAAUGAUUUAGAGAAACGAAAACGUUAUUAUUGAAAUUAAACUUCCACGAAAAUGUGCAUAUAUAAAUAUCGGUAGAAAUGGCAGGAUAAAUUGUAAGCUUCCCCAAACUUGAAACUCAUGAGCCGCCUAAAUGCGUGCAAGCGCGUGAACACAUAGGACGUCUUGUGAAAGAAACGGGCCCACCUCAAAUACUCCUCCAACUUGUCUUGUUUUGUACGCUUUGUACAAAAUAAUAAAACGCAGAACUACAGGAUGUUUCUUAACAUAACUCUUUAUUAAUUAACUAGCUACAACUGCAUGUUCGCCUAUCUCCAACCACGAUCAACUGACCAUGGCCUAACCGUCUGGGUGGUCUUAACCAAUCACCGCACAGUAGGAUACGGCGGUAAAAUGCAUCCAAUUAUAAUUCGGUAUGUAUUCACAUAUGAAUAUUACAUCCCCCUUCUUUUAAAACAAAAUACAAAUGUUUUACAUAUUCUAAGCUUUUCUUUUGAAUACAUGCUCUGUAGUUUGAACAAAAGGUAAGUAACCAUUUAUAUUGCAUAAUACACCAACUGAAUCAACAUAGACUCUGAAACAAUGAUCCAACAUACUGUUACUUUUCAAACAAGGGAUUCUCAGCAACUCAGCUUUCACUGUAGAAAUGACAUCUUAACAUUUCAAACAAAUACAAUACCAAAGCAUGUCAAGUGAACUUUCAAUAACAAGUUUACAGUCUGGAACUCUUUUAGGGCAGCGAUCCGCCUACACCCUUUGACAUUUCACAGGUCGAGGACAGCUCUGGGCUUGACCUCUCUUCCUGACCUUGUGCGAUAUGAUGUUGAGCAUGCUUCUGUGUCAGUCAACAGCUCUUGUGGUGUUGCAG